This is a non-coding RNA of Camellia sinensis, 1669 nucleotides long. The record is from RefSeq and is a predicted model, not a curated record. Lineage: Eukaryota; Viridiplantae; Streptophyta; Magnoliopsida; Ericales; Theaceae.
UCAAUGGCCGAAUUCUCUACUUCUCUCUCACCGAUCUGGUCAGAGUUCUAUUAAUUCGUGAUUUUCUUCUCUCCUCUGUAAUUAAUGCUUGAUUGUUCUUUUUUUUUUUUUGGUAUUCUCUGGAUCUGAUUUCUUUUUGUUUUUGUUUUUGGUGCUUAAUGUUUUUUUUUAAUUAAAUUUUUUGUUUGCUGUAAUUUGUGCUGAUUCUGUUGGAUUUUUGAGGCUGCAAUUGAUCUCAUCCACACUCACCGCAGCCCCUUCAUUGGAGAGCAUGGGUGGAAUGAGUGCUCUAACUGCAGUUGACGUUCCUACACUGCUUGGAACUAGUCCCUUUUCACUUGUGGGUUCUGACAGGAAUGAAGAAAACAAGCAAGUCAAUCCUGUGCCUGCAUACUUGCGUUGGCUUCUGAAAAGAAUGACAGACUUUUCUAACUUUUCUUUUUAUUCAAUGAAUCACAUAUACACUGUACAAGAUAUUAUAUAGGAAAAUAUCUAACUAACUCAGUAACUAACUAACCAACUCAGUAACUAAUGCAGUAACUAACUCAGCUAACAAACACUCUAACCAUCUAACAAACAUUACAACUGUAGCUAUGUUUGUUACAGAUAUUUUCUGAAGAGCAUUUAGGAAAACAAAACUAUGAUGAACAAGCUAUCAAUGCUGACUUCUUCUGCAGUGAUGGCUCUGCCUCUAGCUGUGAAUCUGUGGUUGCUGCAGCUGGGGUGACAUUACUGACUUGGCUGUAAGUUCAAACAAUGCUUUGGUGGCAUCUGCUUCAAAUGACUACAGCAUUCAAGUUUGGCGCUUGCCAGAUGGAUUUCCUAUUUCAGUUUUGCGUGGACAUAUAGGAGCUGUUACUGCCAUUGCAUUUAGUCCCCGGCCUAGCUCUAUGUACCAGUUGUUAUCGUACCUCCAUUUUUAGUUCGCAAGGUGUUCACACAAAUAUUUUCAUUCAUCAAUGUUCAACUAUUUAACAGCCUUCUAUUAAGGAGAGAAUGUUGUUCAUUCAGUAACGGUGAAUAUGUUAAAGCAGGACUCGCUGAACUCGAACAUUGGUGUUAUAAUGCAACAGAUGAGUAUGCAGGUUCAGCUUGGGAUGAGCUCAAGCAUAUCAGACAGGUUAUAGGGUUUUUGAUUCAAGGAUUAUAUCCAUGCAAAGUAUCAUUCCUUAUAUGAGCAGUACCUUAAAAGAAGUGACAACGCAGUCGCCAUGUGAAGUUGGCUGUACAAAAGGUGAUGAUGCUGGUCUUUCAAAUGCGCACAUGAUUAUGGCAGAGAUUCCAAAUGCUUCAGAAGCGGUGGUAUAGGUGCAUGACUUGGGGUGAAAAAAUAAAUUUCUAGCAGUAUGGUGGUUCUUGCUUUAUGUAGGAAGGGUAAUAUUUGAUGUGUAUUAUUAAUACUCUGUUCAACUCUGGAAAUUUGGAGACAUUGAUUAGAAAAUCUGGACAUGAAUGCUUGAUGCUUUGUGUCUAACCCAAUGAAUAUGAAGGCAUAAUUAUUUCUUGGCUAAACACAACUUUUAAGGUCGUAAUCUGACCCAAUGACAAAUGUUAUCUGUCCUAAUUUAUGGUAUUGAUUUGAGUAGUGGAAAUCAUUAUAACUUCUUCCCAACCCUAUUUGCCUUAGGCACUAUUACUUUUUAUUAUUCAACUGUUAAUUUCACUUUUA